RNAcentral lists this long non-coding RNA (768 nucleotides) under Felis catus (domestic cat). RNAcentral describes it as "lncRNA (ENSFCAG00000051637.1)". Lineage: Eukaryota; Metazoa; Chordata; Mammalia; Carnivora; Felidae. The record is from RNAcentral.
AUGUUUGUCAGUACUCACUGUUUUCUUGUCCCUUAUCUUUACAGAAUAUGGAUAUGCUACACUGAUAUAGUACAUCUUAGAUCAGUACAAUCCUUUCUUUUCUUUUCCUACUUAACCAAUUAUUAUAGAUCCAGGCUGCAUCAUACCGUUGGAGAAAACUCAGUGCAGACUGGGGGUACCAGGCACUUACGGCUUCUGGAAGAACACAGCAUGGGGCCCACAAGGACAUCUACAUUCUAGAGACUACAGGUUCUUCUCAGAAGAUUCCACAUCCUACAUCCAGGGUGAAACUAGAGAAAGAAAAAUAUACAAUGAAAAUAGUGUAGAAGGACAUAGAAGAAACCAUUAGAACAGCAGUUCUCAACCAGAGGUGAUUUUUGUUUCCUCCCCCCUUCCACUUCAGGGAAUAUCUGAUAAUGUCUGGAGAUAUUUUUAGUUGUUACAAAUGAAGGAUGCUGCUGGCAUUUUUGGUGGCCAGGGAUGCUACUAAACAAUCUACAAUGCACCGGGCAGCCCCCACAACAAGGAAUUAUUCAACCCAACGUUUCAGUAGUGUUGGGAUUAGGAAACUAUGUACUAGACCAUUACUGAUUGUAGAUUUCUUUUGAAUGUUGAGAAGCAAAACAAAUAUGGGUAAGAAAUGAAUUGGCACUCCCUUUUAAAUUAUAAAUGGAAGACAUAGUUUUAGAAGUUGUAAAAUAAGGAAAAUUUAUUGGACAUACACAAAGCAGUAUAAAUAACAAAUAAAAAUCACUUGUACUCCUGCCA